GAUGAACGCUGGCGGCGUGCCUAAUACAUGCAAGUCGAGCGAACGGACGAGAAGCUUGCUUCUCUGAUGUUAGCGGCGGACGGGUGAGUAACACGUGGAUAACCUACCUAUAAGACUGGGAUAACUUCGGGAAACCGGAGCUAAUACCGGAUAAUAUUUUGAACCGCAUGGUUCAAAAGUGAAAGACGGUCUUGCUGUCACUUAUAGAUGGAUCCGCGCUGCAUUAGCUAGUUGGUAAGGUAACGGCUUACCAAGGCAACGAUGCAUAGCCGACCUGAGAGGGUGAUCGGCCACACUGGAACUGAGACACGGUCCAGACUCCUACGGGAGGCGGCAGUAGGGAAUCUUCCGCAAUGGGCGAAAGCCUGACGGAGCAACGCCGCGUGAGUGAUGAAGGUCUUCAGAUCGUAAAACUCUGUUAUUAGGGAAGAACAUAUGUGUAAGUAACUGUGCACAUCUUGACGGUACCUAAUCAGAAAGCCACGGCUAACUACGUG
RNAcentral lists this ribosomal RNA (497 nucleotides) under uncultured bacterium. RNAcentral's name for it is "partial 16S ribosomal RNA". It matches the Rfam family "Bacterial small subunit ribosomal RNA", at positions 28 to 507 of the family's 1533-position model. The record is from RNAcentral.